AUGUUGAUGCAAGACUACUUCGCGGAGAAUCCAACAUAUCCAUCGCACCUCUUCCGGAGAAGGUACCGAAUGCGUCGAUCCCUCUUUGUGAAAAUUGUUCAAGCUUGCGAGGCAAAUUGUCGGUAUUUUACUCAAAGAAGAAAUGCUGGCUUAAAGGGAUUUAGUGCAUAUCAAAAAAUCUCCGCAGCUAUGCGGGUGAUUGCAUAUGGCGCUCCGGCUGACUAUGCCGAUGAGUACCUUCGCAUUGGUGAAGAUACCACAAUUGAGUCAGUGCGUAGAUUCGCCAAAGUGAUCAUCCGUGUCUUUGGUCCUAAAUAUCCUCGGGCACCCAACGAGGAUGACACAAAGAAAUUGAUGACAUCUAAUGAGAGGAGAGGUUGGCCUGACAUGCUAGUGAAGGAAAUAUGCCCUAGAGGCAAUAAUAAAGUUGUUAUUUAUAUUUCCUUGUUUCAUGAUAAAUGUUUAUUAUUCAUGCUAGAAUUGUAUUAA
This 489-nucleotide ribosomal RNA is filed under the name Triticum aestivum (bread wheat). Its description in RNAcentral is "partial small subunit ribosomal RNA". Lineage: Eukaryota; Viridiplantae; Streptophyta; Magnoliopsida; Poales; Poaceae. The record is from RNAcentral.